CCGGCGCACGGGUGAGUAACACGUAUGCAAUCUACCUUCUACAGAGGGAUAGCCCGUUGAAAGACGGAUUAAUACCUCAUAAUACAGGGGCUCCGCAUGGAGAUAUUUGUUAAAGAAGCAAUUCGGUAGAAGAUGAGCAUGCGCUCCAUUAGGUAGUUGGUGAGGUAACGGCUCACCAAGCCGACGAUGGAUAGGGGAACUGAGAGGUUUAUCCCCCACACUGGUACUGAGACACGGACCAG
This 242-nucleotide ribosomal RNA is filed under the name uncultured bacterium. Its description in RNAcentral is "partial 16S ribosomal RNA". It matches the Rfam family "Bacterial small subunit ribosomal RNA", at positions 95 to 334 of the family's 1533-position model. The record is from RNAcentral.